RNAcentral lists this ribosomal RNA (330 nucleotides) under uncultured bacterium. RNAcentral describes it as "bacterial SSU rRNA". It matches the Rfam family "Bacterial small subunit ribosomal RNA", at positions 568 to 898 of the family's 1533-position model. The record is from RNAcentral.
UGCGUAGGCGGCCGUGUAAGUAUGGUGUGAAAUCUCCCGGCUUAACUGGGAGGGUGCGCUAUAAACUGCGUGGCUAGAGUGUGGGAGAGGAAAGUGGAAUUCCUGGUGUAGCGGUGAAAUGCGUAGAUAUCAGGAGGAACACCGGUGGUGUAAACGGCUUUCUGGACCAUAACUGACGCUGAGGCACGAAAGCGUGGGUAGCAAACAGGAUUAGAUACCCUGGUAGUCCACGCCCUAAACGAUGCAUAUUUGGUGUGGGCCAUUCAUUUGGUCCGUGCCGGAGCUAACGCGUUAAAUAUGCCGCCUGGGGAGUACAGUCGCAAGGCUGAA